UAGUAAGGAUCCUACCAGGGAUUAUUUAUGUAUUAUGUUGGUAGAAUGUUGAAGUUGGGAUAGUAGUAAGGAUCCUACCAGGGAUUAUUUAUGUAUGAUGUUGGUAGAAUGUUGAAGUUGGGAUAGUAGUAAAAGGCCGGUGUGUAAAUGACUAAGAUUCAAGCCUCCCAUGAAUUAGGGAGCUUUGUUUCAUUAUUGUGUGUUUAUCUGUAUGUUCCUUCCUGUAGUUGGCCAUCUGGGAGGAUUCUGUAUGGAGGAAUGGUCUAAGAUCACCCCAAUGUGUUCUCCGACUCAUAAAACAUUUAAGAAAAAGUCUUAGUGCUGUUAUCCAUGCAAGGUGGAGGCAGGUAGUCUAGUGGUUAGAGUGUAGGGGCGGCAGGUAGCCUAGUGGUUAGAGUGUAGGGGCGUCAGGUAGCCUAGUGGUUAGAGUGUAGGGGCGGCAAGUAGUCUAGUGGUUAGAUUGUAGGGGCGGCAGGUAGCCUAGUGGUUAGAGUGUAGGGGCGGCAGGUAGUCUAGUGGUUAGAGUGUAGGGGCGGCAGGUAGCCUAGUGGUUAGAGUGUAGGGGCGGCAGGUAGCCUAGUGGUUAGAGCGUUGGGCCAGUAACCGAAAGGUUGCAAGAUCGAAUGCCUGAGCUGACAAGGAAAGAACCUGUCGUUCUGCCCCUGAACAAGGCAGUUAACCCACUGUUCCUAGACCAGUUAACCCCCUGUUCCUAGACCAGUUAACCCCCUGUUCCUAGACCAGUUAACCCACUGUCCUAGACCAGUUAACCCACUGUUCCUAGACCAGUUAACCCACUGUUCCUAGACCAGUUAAUCCACUGUUCCUAGACCAGUUAACCCCCUGUUCCUAGACCAGUUAACCCACUGUUCCUAGGCUGUCAUUAAAAAUAAGAAUUUGUUCUUAACUGACUUGCCUAGUUAAAUAAAUGGGGGGAAAAGAUGACCUUUUUGAGAAAAUAAUUAUUACUUUCUUAAACAAAAUCUCUUUCUCUGAGCAAUUGUUUUUGCUUAAAAUCAUUUAAUUUUCCCAUUUUGUUUGAGCAUGCAAUAUAUUUCAGUCUUUGAAUCAUGUAUUUUAUACAGUCAUUUUUGCUACUCUUUAUCAAGGGUGUCAAU
Molecule: long non-coding RNA, 1118 nt
Organism: Oncorhynchus tshawytscha (Chinook salmon)
Lineage: Eukaryota; Metazoa; Chordata; Actinopteri; Salmoniformes; Salmonidae
Source: Ensembl